CCCUUAGAUGUUCUGGGCCGCACGCGCGCUACACUGUUCGACGCAGCGAGUCUUAACCUUGACCGAAAGGUUUGGGUAAUCUUCAGCAAAGUCGAACGUGAUGGGGAUCGAUCAUUGCAAUUAUUGAUCGUGAACGAGGAAUUCCUAGUAAGUGCAAGUCAUCAGCUUGCGCUGAUUACGUCCCUGCCCUUUGUACACACCGCCCGUCGCUACUACCGAUUGAAUGGGUUAGUGAGAUCUCUGGAUUGACGCUGGCUAGGGGGCGACCCUUGGCCAGACUGUUGAGAAACUGCUCAAACUUGAUCAUUUAGAGGAAGUAAAAGUCGUAACA
Molecule: ribosomal RNA, 331 nt
Filed under: uncultured eukaryote
Lineage: Eukaryota
Description: partial 18S ribosomal RNA
Rfam family: Eukaryotic small subunit ribosomal RNA
Source: RNAcentral